UCAAAAUGGUAUCUACGUAAUUUUCAAUCAAUUUCAUCUCCUCUCAAACCAUAUCUACUCAUCAGUGUAUUCCCUAAAUCACGCGUCUGUCUCCUUCAAUUUCGACUUCUUUGUUUUGGAAAUCGCUUCAAAUUUAAAAUACAUUAAUCCUUUAUCAAACGGAAACCUUUAAUUCUACCUUGUGGUUCAAUGAUUUACCGGUCAUCUCUACCGUGCAGAUGAUCAACUGUGAUUUUUACUUCAACGCACCUUAUAAGGUCGCUUACACUGUCUUCCUUCGUUGAUCCUUUAUUUGAUGUUGCAGUGAAAAAGACUAAGCCUAAUAUUAUCAAGCGACCCCCUUCCUUGGAUUUCAGUUAUAUCAGGUUUGUAGAGAAUCGUGUUUUUUUCAUGACAGAUGUCGAUGGCCAAGAAAAAAAAGAGUUUUUGAUGUUCAUAUGAGAAAACAUCAUUUGAUAGGAACCAUUGUAUUUUGAGAAUGAAUCGGUAACCCAUAACCCAAAUCUUCAUCUUUUGUUAUCGUUUUUCUGUAAUCCUUUUAAUUCUUCAUGUUUAUUCAGAUUUUGGUUGGGAUGAACAAAUAUUUAAAAGAUUUAACUCUUCAUGUGUAUUCAGAUUUUGGCUGGGAUGAACAAAUAUUUAAAAGAUUUUUCGGGACAACUAUAAGUUUCAUAAUUCAUAUACAAUGGUUUUUGCUUCUUCAUAAGGGUAUUCGACUUUUUAGGAUAUGGUCUAAAUUGAGUUCUUUGUUUGUGGUUAUUGGAAUUUUAAGGUUUUCUCUAGAUUUCGUUUUUUGUUGGUUGUAUAUAGUUAGAUUGUUUUAGUUUUUAAGGCCAAUGAAAUAGUGAGAUGCUAAUAAUAGGGGAAUUUAGUUAUGUUUGGUGGUAAAUUGGUUGUUUAAUAACAUUACUUACUUUAUUAGCGCGGAUACCUUUUAAUUGAAAUGCUCAUCUGAACUUGUAAUCACCACAGGAGGAGGUUAAUGCGAUGGAGAUGGAAAAGUGGUUACUUAAUAACUUGUGAAGUUAAAAUGUUUUGGGUAUUUUGAUUUUUUGAAAUAGAUUUAUGAUCUAUUUUUUAUUAUAACAAAUAUGUUCCAUCGCCUCCUCAUCCUAUUUUUCCAUAUAUGUAUAAAAUCUGACAGGUUGUUCUCAAAAUUUGGAUAUGGUGAUUUUCAGUCUCAUUGUGUUGCUUUUAGUUUUGGAUUAAAAAUAAUAAUUUCAAGAUUUAUCAACUAAAAGGAAAGUAAUGUCUAUUUUUUUGGUUUAAUACGUACUUUUAUUAUGCAGAUAUUUAGUUGAACAAAGAUGCAAAAACUUGUUUUAUGUUUAUUCCUUUGGUGGCUCACUGUGUAUUUAUUUGCUGCCAGGUUGAUCUUUUUAUACCAGCAAAAGUUCACAGUUGACAGUUGUAAUCUGUUCCAGAGCUGAAUUUUUUUUGAUGUUAUAGGUAUGAUUCAGUUACUAUGCUUUUCUCCAAAGACUAAAAAUCUCAUCUCAAAAUAUCGUAUUCUCGAUCGUUGAACUUUAAAAUAUUUAUGAAUGAUUGAUAUAUUAAUCAAGUUUUCACCAUUUUUUCCUUUUGUUGAACUUAUUUUUUGAUCUUUUGUCAACUUACAGUGGGUACUACAUUAGUAACAAUGAAUGGGCUUUGAUCGACUAAGAUACAAAAAGUGUAUUUUUAAAGGUGGUGUCGUGGAGCCUUGUCAUGUUUCUUUUCAUUAAAGUUUUAAAAUCUUAGCAAUUCAGGAGGAUUGGAUUCUUUUUCUACUUUUGAGAAAAAUGGUCCACUAAUUAUUUUUUAACUUGGUAUACAAGACAUUAUUAAAUAAAUUUUCGAUCUUUAUGCAAGUGGGUUCACAUACUAAGGAAGUAAUUCAAGGAAGUAAUUACAAAUGUAAGUAAGAUCCAUAAUGGUUGAGUUUUCACUUAAUUUAUUAAGUUUUUUUUUCUUCCUAAUCAAGUUCUAUUUUUACAACUAAUAGCAUCCUACUUCCACUUAUAGCAUCCUACUUUAAAAUAAUGUUUUUGUAACCUUCCAAGAGGUAUCAUGCAACCCUACCUCCUUGAAGCCGACUAUGUAUGACCUGAAGUAAGCAGCACUGUGGGGUGCUCUUGAUGUAGAGUUGUUCUAAUUGGUGUAUAUUUGUUUUGAAUUUUAGGUUCAUAGAUUGUAAUUUGUUUGUUCAUUAACUGUUGGAUAUUUUUUAAAUAUUUUGUUUAAUACCAAACUUACUUUAAUUUCUUAACAAAUAAACUAAAUAUUUAAUAAAUGUUAUAUUGCCUUGCUAUAACCCUAUAAUAACAUUGUGCUUUGAAAGUACAUUGCUAUAAUUGAUGUGAAUUGUUCCUCCUAUUUCUUGCUACAAAACAAAAUAUAAGUUGGUAUUUUUUUUUGUAAAAAAAGUUAUAUUUCAUAAGAUAACCUUAAAAUAACAAUGUACUUUAGAAGUACAUUGCUAUAAAUGAAUUGAAUGGUUGCUUUUACAAUUUUUUUUGAAUAAUAUUAUUAUUUACUUCACUUAUUGUGGUUGUUUUAUUUUUAUAAUCAAUUUAACAUAUCAUUAAAUAAUAUUGUUAUUAUUUUUCAUUAAUUCACAAAUAAAAACUAUCUCAUAUAUCUUGAAAAAUAAUUUUACAUAUUUAUUUGAAUCAAUGAUUAUAAUUUUACAUUAAAAAAACAUAAAUAUCUUAGUUAAUAAUUUAUUGAAAAUAUUUUAUUAAUAUUUAUGAUUUUUUACUAUAAAAAUUUAUUUAUUUUUGUAACCGUGGUUCCCACGGGUUAUAACCUAGUUCCUAAUAUAGUCUUAAUGAGAUAGUUAAAAAAAUAUGGAAUGACAACACUUGUCAUAAUUUAAUUGGAUAGGAACAGUUGUA
Non-coding RNA from Lactuca sativa (garden lettuce), 2876 nucleotides. The record is from RefSeq and is a predicted model, not a curated record. NCBI's taxonomy places the organism in Eukaryota, Viridiplantae, Streptophyta, Magnoliopsida, Asterales, Asteraceae.